This 244-nucleotide ribosomal RNA is filed under the name uncultured bacterium. Its description in RNAcentral is "partial small subunit ribosomal RNA". It matches the Rfam family "Bacterial small subunit ribosomal RNA", at positions 26 to 285 of the family's 1533-position model. The record is from RNAcentral.
AGAAUCAACGCUGGCGGCGUGCCUAACACAUGCAAGUCGAACGAGAAAGUGGAGCAAUCCAUGAGUAAAGUGGCGACCGGGUGAGUAACACGUGACUAACCUACCUUCGAGUGGGGGAUAACAUCGGGAAACCGAUGCUAAUACCGCAUAACAUCGCAAGAUCAAAGCAGCAAUGCGCUGGAAGAGGGGGUCGCGGCUGAUUAGCUAGUUGGCGGGUAACGGCCCACCAAGGCGAAGAUCGGUA